Long non-coding RNA from Eptesicus fuscus (big brown bat), 975 nucleotides. RefSeq lists it as uncharacterized. Lineage: Eukaryota; Metazoa; Chordata; Mammalia; Chiroptera; Vespertilionidae. The transcript is spliced from 4 exons. The record is from RefSeq and is a predicted model, not a curated record.
UGUUCUGUUAACGUAGUAAGAGGCUCUGGCGCUCAGAGUACCAAUUAGGACUAGGCACCAGAAGCAGUGUUCCCGCUGUGCAGUGGUGUGUCUGAGGCUUGAUUAGCUGCAACAGGCGGGAUUGAGGCCUCCGUGCCUCCCAGAUUCCGUUUUGCUUACAGACUUCAACUCAGCCUCACCUGUUUAGCCUUCAUCCUUGGGUCCAGGCGUCUGUCAGGUCCUGCAGCCCAGGUUGCAGCGUCCAGAACCGAUAUGAACUUUGAGGACCUGGCCAUUGCCUUCUCUCAGGAGGAGUGGAGGCUUCUUGAUGAGGAUCAGAGACUUCUGUACUGCGAAGAGAUGCUGGAAGUUUUUGCACUUCUAUCAUCUGUAGGUUGUUGGCAUAAAAUGGAUGAGGAGAAGAUGCCUCCUGAGCAGAGUGUAUCUGUAAGAGGAGAGCCACAGGUCAGGUCUUGUAAGACAGCUCCAGCAGCCCAGAAGACUUGUCUGUGUCGGUCCUAAGCCCAUAGCCCCGUGACGGUGUCACUCACAAAGUGACCAAUGCGUGGAGUAGGAAUCUGGCAGAGGGGCAGCGGCGAGCAACCUCGAGGAGUGGACGGCUUUCGUGAUCUGUUACAGGUGCCUUGCUCUCCACAUGCCUCACAUACAGUGGACUGUCAGAAAGUCCUGGCCUCUCCCCCUGCAAAUCCUCAGUUAUUCUUGAUAGAUCCUCCCUCCCUCCAACUGGUGGGCGGAGUAAUGACAUCACUGGAGUCUGCCGCCAAGACAUUGAACCACCAAUCAGCGCGUGCCGAGUGCCCUGGGACCCACCUUUUCCCGUUCCUCCCCUAAAAAGGCUCUCCACCACUCCACGUGUUGUUCUCCCAGGCUGUUCUCUCUCGUCUCUCAGUCUGCGAGUCAGCCCAGUUGGGUCCCUCUUUCUUCUACUCCCCCUCCUCUAAUCCUGGUUUCUCUACCUCCUCCGUAAUGAAUCUC